UAGAAAAUUAUAUAUUAUUGCCAAUAGUUAUAAAAAAUUACUCUCCGGCAAAAAAAUUAAAAAAAUAUUGUUAUGUUUAUUGAAAGAAACUCAAAAACAAUUUGAGUUAAUGAAAAUGCUUUACUUGAUUUGCAUAUUGUUUGGUUUUUUAACGUUGGAGAAGGUUAUAAAUGCAGCGCCAUUUAAGAACGACUUUGCAAUACAACUUGAUGCGUGCACAUUUAGAAGAUGGACAAGUUGUGAGAGUGUUCAUCCAAGCAAAGAAGAGAGACACAAAAAGUUGAUCGAAAAAAUCAAAAACUUACUAAAAGAAAUUUCAGUUGAAGUUAUAAAAGACAAACACGGGUAAAACUCAAAAUGUUGUUUAACAUCAGGAGCACUUCAUGUAAUCGAGAAAACUAAAAGAUUUACGUGACUUUUACAGAAGGCAGUGUUUUUUUGUUUUUUUGUUUGCCUUAAAAAAUUAUUUGUUUUGUUUUAUUUAGAUAAUUAAUUUAGUUUUAA
Long non-coding RNA from Hydra vulgaris (swiftwater hydra), 504 nucleotides. RefSeq lists it as uncharacterized. NCBI's taxonomy places the organism in Eukaryota, Metazoa, Cnidaria, Hydrozoa, Anthoathecata, Hydridae. The record is from RefSeq and is a predicted model, not a curated record.